AUUGAACGCUGGCGGCAGGCUUAACACAUGCAAGUCGAGCGGAGAUGAGGUGCUUGCACCUUAUCUUAGCGGCGGACGGGUGAGUAAUGCUUAGGAAUCUGCCUAUUAGUGGGGGACAACAUUCCGAAAGGGAUGCUAAUACCGCAUACGUCCUACGGGAGAAAGCAGGGGAUCUUCGGACCUUGCGCUAAUAGAUGAGCCUAAGUCGGAUUAGCUAGUUGGUGGGGUAAAGGCCUACCAAGGCGACGAUCUGUAGCGGGUCUGAGAGGAUGAUCCGCCACACUGGGAAUGAGACACGGCCCAGACUCCUACGGGAGGCAGCAGUGGGGAAUAUUGGACAAUGGGGGGAACCCUGAUCCAGCCAUGCCGCGUGUGUGAAGAAGGCCUUAUGGUUGUAAAGCACUUUAAGCGAGGAGGAGGCUACUGAGACUAAUACUCUUGGAUAGUGGACGUUACUCGCAGAAUAAGCACCGGCUAACUCUGUGCCAGCCGCCGCAGUAA
This 501-nucleotide ribosomal RNA is filed under the name uncultured bacterium. RNAcentral describes it as "partial 16S ribosomal RNA". It matches the Rfam family "Bacterial small subunit ribosomal RNA", at positions 30 to 523 of the family's 1533-position model. The record is from RNAcentral.